Molecule: long non-coding RNA, 1005 nt
Organism: Prionailurus viverrinus (fishing cat)
Lineage: Eukaryota; Metazoa; Chordata; Mammalia; Carnivora; Felidae
Exons: 3
Source: RefSeq, a predicted model, not a curated record
CUAUUUACAGGUACACUGGUGGACAGACCUCCCCCCACCAGAGUGACUGGCUGCAAUGACUGGCAUGACCAUUGUGAGCAUGCUGUGUCCUCUGAAGUAAAAGCAUAUCAACAAUAUUCACCUGAAGAAGUUAAAUAUGCAUUCCUAACCAGUAACGGAGUUUCUGGGAUCAGAUGAGGAAAAAAAUGGUGGGGGAUUGGAAGAUGAUUAUUCCAGAGGGAAGGAUGAUUUAUAGUCAGCCUAACAGUGUCUACACUUAGGAUAAGCUGUUCUGCUUUAAGCCAAGAUGGUUACAGUCACAAGUGUCUGCUCUGCUCCACUGAGUUAUAGUUUCUAGAACAUCCAGGGACUCAAGUCUCUUGUGUUUCAGCUCUUGCAAAGCUGGUUCUACUACUAUUCUGGAAGCUAAUAGUCCAGUCACUGAUAAAAUGAAUAGCAAGAGAAAACCUGAUUUUACAGCUGAAAUAAUCAGAAAACCCUAUAGCAUAGUGUUUAUGUACAUCUGUUAGAAGGUGGUAUAUAAUGGCUGCAUUUCCUGUAUAACAUAAUAUGGCUGAAUAUCUAACAGGACAUGGAAGUUUUGCAUUUUGAUGAAGUAUCAUGGGAGCAGGUAUUCUUCAGAAGGAGCUUGAGAAUAGCCAGGAGGGCACUAUAAGGGUACUUAGAUCCAAGAUGACAGGAGAUGAUACAAAGAGAAAAGAUAUCAAAGAUGUCUGGUGACAAACUUUUCCUCUAUGGGCCAGAGGCAAUGUCCCUAACUUUCCCUUCUGCCUAGCUAGGAGAGAGGAAAUAAACCAAGCUGCAUUAAAUUGGUUCUUUGACUCAUAAGUGGCAUAAAAAUAAGCUAUUGGGGAAGGGAUGGUUUAUGAAUAUUAUAUUAUACAUAUAUGUAAUAUAUAUAUACAUAUAUAUAGUGCAUCUCUGUGUAUAUAUGUUCCAAGCACUUGAAUAAUUUAGCUCAAAGGAAAAUAUUUCUUUGUAAACAUAAGAAAACAAACUAACCUU